UAAACCAAAAAUCCCGCAAAAAACCCAAAACUACUUUUUGCUCGUCCUCAAAAUCUGCUUAUGCUCCCUCCACUCCUAACCCCCACGAUCCUUAAAACCCUAACCCUUUCCCCCCUCUAACAAUCCCCACCUAUAAGUGAUCAAAAUUCUCCAAGGGGAAGCCGAAGCCGAAGCCAUGGCCAUCGCAAAUUCUAGAGACCUAGCCCUCUCACUCCUCACCGUUGUGAACAACCAUGCCGAUUUGGUGGUGAAGCUUUCGUCUCUCAAACAGGCCAAAGAUAUUCUUUCCUCUCUCGAUUCUUGUUUUGCUGUCGAGCUUUUCCUUUACCUCGCCGGGCUCCAACGUUCUCCUCGGAGCCUCGUUAUAAAAUUUGUUGUCGAAUGAGUUUCAAACCCUAAUUCUGCUCUUGCUUUCCUUUUUUCUUUGUAUUAAUUCUUUAUGAUUUUGUAUUCUUUUUCAGAAUCCUGUCACUGCAUUUUUACAGUUUGUUGUAAUAUUGUGAAUUUGUGAAAAAUUGAAAAUGUUUUGUGUUAACUCUAUAAAAUUACUGAUUUAAUUGCUUAUGAAGGAUGGCUUUGAUUUGUCAUCUUAUUGUAUAUCAUUUUUACAGUUUGUUGUAAUAUUGUGAAUUUGUGAAAAAUUGAAAAUGUUUUGUGUUAACUCUAUAAAAUUACUGAUUUAAUUGCUUAUGAAGGAUGGCUUUGAUUUGUCAUCUUAUUGUAUAUUGGUAGAAAAGGUUUAUCACUUUCUUUUAUAUGCUGGCUUUCUGUAGUGAUUUUUAAUUGCUUAUACAUUUUGACAGAUCAACACUUGUUGUUCUUGGUCUAACAACAUAUGUCAACCUUGCAUCCUUUAGACACUACUUCGGUUUAGGGAGCAACCCUGACGUGAUAAUUCAAAGCUGUUCAAAUUUUAGAAAUUUACCAGCUGCACCUCAAGCAAUUAUGUGUAUCUGAUCACCAAGUAAGCAGUUAUGUGAUAAAUCUUAGUUUUCUUUCCAUGGCUUCUCUUGUACUUUUUUUCUCUGAACUUCGUCGCCGCCAUGAACCAAACUUUGCUUUUGUAACACCUCCUGCUUCUUGCGGCGCUUCAAUGUCUUUACUUGCCAAGAAACCAUUGAAAAAUGAUGCCAACAAGUAUAUGUCAGAGAUUGUAGAGGAAGAUUGACAAGAGCUAAGGGUUUUUGUUGACUUGUUUGGCCUUAAUUUUAUGAUCUGAUGCAUGCAAACCAGAAUUCUAGCCCCAUACAUGUUCUUUUGUCAUCUCUGAUUCUAGCCCCAAACUUGUAAUUUGAAUUGCCCUAUAUCUAUAUCAUGUUCUUCAAACAUACAAGAAAAUGAAUAAAUUUUACUCCUAUCUAUGUGGUGAAUAAGCCAAGGUGAUCUACUUUAACUACUUAUUCAAGACCUGACUGUAGGUAGCUGCUCAGCAGCUGGGAAAUGCAUUUUUAUUUUUCAACUAAUAGAUGUAACUGAAAAAAUAACCAAUGAAUAAGAUAAAUGCAAUAAAGCUUACACAAAUGAAUAGGAUAAAUGAAAAUCCUUAUGUUUCCUUUGUCCUAUGUUUCGAAAAAUGACCAUUUAAUUGUUAGGAACCAAAAAAAGGUAUACAUACGAAGUGUGAGACAGAUGAAAUAUCACAAGAGUUCGAAGGAUUUUCAUUUGGGUUUUCGAAACAUAAGACUUCUGAAGAACAAUAAAAUUAAUUCUCCCAUGAAAAAGGAUUAAAGAUUGGGUUUAAAAAAUCUUAGGCAAGAAAUGGAAUAAAAGCAUAUACUAUUGUUGGCGUUGGGGGUGGGUAUGGGGGUAUGAGUCAGUCUAGGGUUGGCUUCGACUCCGUAAAUGGAAUGGAAGCAGUUCGACUGCAGCAACUAACAUCACUUUGGAGAAGUUGGAGAAAGAAUUGCUCCACCAAAUUGUUAAUGGCAGAGAUAGCCAGGUCACCUUUGAUCAGUUUCCCUACUAUCUCAGACUCGAGCAUUGCUGACUAGUGCAACCUAUGUCCAUUUGAAACAUGCUGAUGUUUUCAAGUACACCAGGAGCCUUUCCCCUGCUAGUCAAGCUAUAUUGCUAUCAAGAUCUGCAGAACUUUACCACCAAAUGCUUGCCAAAGCUUUAGCCCAUUACUUUGAAUCAAAGCUGUUGUUAUUGGAUGUAACUGACUUUUCCUUAAAAAUUCAAAGUAAAUAUGGAAGUGGCAAAAAAUCUGCACCUUCCAAUACAGCAUCAAAGACAAAAGAUUUCAGCACAGCCAACUUAAAAUAUGGGAUGCAAAACUAUUAGAUUCAUCAUUAUUAAUUUGGUUUUGGCAAUUGGGUUGAAUAUUUCUUAGAAGUUGACUGGUUUUUCUAAUGGACCAGAAAAAAUGCUAAUGGUUAACAAUGGGCCUAACGAAGCUGGUGAAGGACCAGUGAUACUGGGCAAGGUUCCAACCACAUUAAGCCUCAACAAAAGCAAAACGACAACAAAAGAGGUGGCGUUCCGUUUUCGCAGCCAUAUAUCCUUCCAUGACUCGUCUCUUUAUACAUGAAGGUUAUUAACAAGAAGCAGAUCUUGCGAACUCUAUCCUGUAUUGCCCUUGAUAUCCAUGAUAAUAAUUCGGGUGAUGAUCACCUACCUUCUCUCUGUGUUCAUCAAAAUACACUCACUGAGGUGGUAAGUGAGAAGAACCUUGAAAAACUAAGUAAACUUGGAGGAGUGAAACAAAUUGCUGCAAGCCUUGCAACUGAUGAGAAGCAUGGUAUCAGUGCCAAUCAGGCUGAUCUUGCAGUAGGAUUGCCGUCUACGGUGUCAACAGUUAUCAAAACCACCUACCAAAAGCUUCUGUAAUUUUUUAUUUGAAGCUUUUAAGGAUACAACAAUUAUGUAUUCUUGGU
Molecule: non-coding RNA, 2876 nt
Organism: Durio zibethinus
Lineage: Eukaryota; Viridiplantae; Streptophyta; Magnoliopsida; Malvales; Malvaceae
Source: RefSeq, a predicted model, not a curated record